UCCGGCUCGGCCAAUGAUGACAUCUAUGAGCUCCCUCAUCGAGUUCCAAUACGCAGACGACAACAGUGUUGCAGUUCUCUCAGAAAAUCAUCUGCACCAGAUCCUGACUGCCUUCAACAGUGCAUACACGAAACUUGGACUUACCAUCAACUCCAAGAAGACUCGGGUUAUCUACCAAUCGUCACCAACUGAGACAAAUCGGAAAGAACCGUCAA
Molecule: long non-coding RNA, 215 nt
Organism: Amblyraja radiata (thorny skate)
Lineage: Eukaryota; Metazoa; Chordata; Chondrichthyes; Rajiformes; Rajidae
Exons: 3
Source: RefSeq, a predicted model, not a curated record